ACAGUACAAACUGAGCAGGCGAUGGCCUCCGGGCCAUGGGGCCGGGCCGCGAUGCGGCAGCAGAUGUCAACGCAUCUGUGGGACAGU
This 87-nucleotide non-coding RNA is filed under the name chicken gut metagenome. RNAcentral's name for it is "NiCo riboswitch". It matches the Rfam family "NiCo (Nickel/Cobalt) riboswitch aptamer". The record is from RNAcentral.